AUAUGGGGGAUAGCCGGCCUAACGGCCGAGUAAUACCGCAUACGCUCUCGAUGAGGCAUUUCAUUGAGAGGAAACCUCCGGGGUAUUUCGAGGGGCUCGCGGCCUAUCAGCUAGUUGGCGAGGUAACGGCUCACCAAGGCAACGACGGGUAGCUGGUCUGAGAGGAUGGCCAGCCACAUUGGGACUGAGAUACGGCCCAGACUCCUACGGGAGGCAGCAGUGGGGAAUCUUGCGCAAUGGCCUAACGGCUGACGCAGCGACGCCGCGUGUGGGAUGAAGCUCUUCGGAGUGUAAACCACUGUUGCCCGGGACGAAUAGCUCGAUUUCUCGAGCCUGACAGUACCGGGUGAGGAAGCACCGGCUAACUCCGUGCCAGCAGCCGCGGUAAUACGGGGGGUGCGAGCGUUGUCCGGAAUCACUGGGCGUAAAGGGCGCGUAGGUGGUUUGAUAAGGGUGUGGUGAAAGUCCGGGGCUCAACCCCGGAUCUGCCGUGCCGACUGUCAAACUCGAGGACUGUAGAGGCAGACGGAAUUCCGGGUGUAGCGGUGGAAUGCGUAGAGAUCCGGAGGAAGACCGGUGGCGAAGGCGGUCUGCUGGGCAGUUUCUGACACUGAGGCGCGACAGCGUGGGGAGCAAACAGGAUUAGAUACCCUGGUAGUCCACGCCGUAAACGAUGGGUACUAGGUGCCUGGGGGA
RNAcentral lists this ribosomal RNA (696 nucleotides) under uncultured Gemmatimonas sp. Its description in RNAcentral is "bacterial SSU rRNA". It matches the Rfam family "Bacterial small subunit ribosomal RNA", at positions 134 to 831 of the family's 1533-position model. The record is from RNAcentral. Lineage: Bacteria; Pseudomonadati; Gemmatimonadota; Gemmatimonadia; Gemmatimonadales; Gemmatimonadaceae.